AGGACUAACGCUGGCGGCGUGCCUAACACAUGCAAGUCGAACGGGGUAGCAAUACCCAGUGGCAGACGGGUGAGUAACACGUGGUCAACCUACCUCUGUGUGGGGGAUAACUAGCCGAAAGGUUAGCUAAUACCGCAUACGAUCGUUUUGAGGCAUCUCGAGACGAUGAAAGGAGCAAUCCGCACGGAGAGGGGACUGCGUCCCAUUAGUUAGUUGGUGGGGUAACGGCCUACCAAGACUCCGAUGGGUAGCUGGCUUGAGAGAGCGACCAGCCACACUGGAACUGAGAAACGGUCCAGACUCCUACGGGAGGCAGCAGUGAGGAAUUUUCCGCAAUGGGCGAAAGCCUGACGGAGCGACGCCGCGUGUGGGAUGAAGGCCUUCGGGUCGUAACCACUGUCGAAGGGACGAUAAUGACGGUACCCUGGAGGAGCCCGGCUAACUACGUGCCAGCAGCCGC
Molecule: ribosomal RNA, 460 nt
Filed under: uncultured bacterium
Lineage: Bacteria
Description: SSU rRNA
Rfam family: Bacterial small subunit ribosomal RNA
Source: RNAcentral